This 425-nucleotide ribosomal RNA is filed under the name Micrococcus sp. oral taxon F54. RNAcentral describes it as "bacterial SSU rRNA". It matches the Rfam family "Bacterial small subunit ribosomal RNA", at positions 28 to 453 of the family's 1533-position model. The record is from RNAcentral. Lineage: Bacteria; Bacillati; Actinomycetota; Actinomycetes; Micrococcales; Micrococcaceae.
GAUGAACGCUGGCGGCGUGCUUAACACAUGCAAGUCGAACGAUGAAGCCCAGCUUGCUGGGUGGAUUAGUGGCGAACGGGUGAGUAACACGUGAGUAACCUGCCCUUGACUCUGGGAUAAGCCCGGGAAACUGGGUCUAAUACCGGAUAGGAGCGCCUGUCGCAUGACGGGUGUUGGAAAGAUUUUUCGGUCAUGGAUGGACUCGCGGCCUAUCAGCUUGUUGGUGAGGUAAUGGCUCACCAAGGCGACGACGGGUAGCCGGCCUGAGAGGGUGACCGGCCACACUGGGACUGAGACACGGCCCAGACUCCUACGGGAGGCAGCAGUGGGGAAUAUUGCACAAUGGGCGGAAGCCUGAUGCAGCGACGCCGCGUGAGGGAUGACGGCCUUCGGGUUGUAAACCUCUUUCAGUAGGGAAGAAGCGA